AUGGCUUUUCUAGGUUCAUCCACUACCCUCGCUCUCAAGGCAGCCUUCGUCGCCGCCAUGCUCGCAGUCCUGGUACUGCCUUCCAUGGGGCGCUGCCCGUCGCUUGGGCCAGAGGUAGCCCCCACGCCUGCGCCGACACCGGUGAUACCGUGCAGCGACUGUGACGAAUGGGCAGCGCCCACGCCUGCACCGACACCGGCGAUACAGUGCAGCGACUGUGACGAAUGGGCAGCGCCCACGCCUGCGCCGACGCCAGCGAUACUGUGCAGCGACUGUGACAAACGCUGCUUUGACGCGUGCUAUGCCAAGGUCAAGGUUAUGUGCAAGUGCUACGGAUGUAGCGGCUGUUGGAACGGAUACAUGCCCAAGUGCGUCAAACCCUGCGAGAGUGACUGCCGCGUCGCCGGCUGCGUCAGCGGCUAA
This 423-nucleotide ribosomal RNA is filed under the name Triticum aestivum (bread wheat). Its description in RNAcentral is "partial small subunit ribosomal RNA". The record is from RNAcentral. Lineage: Eukaryota; Viridiplantae; Streptophyta; Magnoliopsida; Poales; Poaceae.